This 229-nucleotide ribosomal RNA is filed under the name uncultured bacterium. Its description in RNAcentral is "partial 16S ribosomal RNA". It matches the Rfam family "Bacterial small subunit ribosomal RNA", at positions 568 to 796 of the family's 1533-position model. The record is from RNAcentral.
UACGUAGGCGGAAAAUUAAGUCAGUAGUGAAAUCCUGCAGCUCAACUGUAGAACUGUUAUUGAUACUGGUUUUCUUGAAUGUAGUUGAGGUAGGCGGAAUGUGUAAUGUAGCGGUGAAAUGCUUAGAUAUUACACAGAACACCGAUCGCGAAGGCAGCUUACUAAGCUACGAUUGACACUGAGGUACGAAAGCGUGGGGAGCGAACAGGAUUAGAUACCCUGGUAGUCC